Molecule: transfer RNA, 71 nt
Filed under: Rhizophagus irregularis
Lineage: Eukaryota; Fungi; Glomeromycota; Glomeromycetes; Glomerales; Glomeraceae
Description: tRNA-Gln
Rfam family: tRNA
About the family: Transfer RNA (tRNA) molecules are approximately 80 nucleotides in length. Their secondary structure includes four short double-helical elements and three loops (D, anti-codon, and T loops).
Source: RNAcentral
UGGGUUGUCGUCUAAAAGGUAAGACCUCCGAGUUUGAUUCGGAAAAAGAAGUUCAAAUCUUCUCAGCCCAG